ACAUUUUAGAUCUCUUGGCUUGAGAAGCAAGUAUCUUCUGAGUUACAUGGUCCUUCAGAACUGUUUUCCCAACCCUCCUCAAGUUUGGAAAUGUGAAGUAAAGAGCUGGUGAUCAUUUCUGCAGCUAUGCGUGUGUGGCUCCAGGGCUGCUGGAUCUACAGAAGCAUGAAGUCUGGGGAUUUGCCUGCAGUGCUGACCUUCGCACCAGCCUGCGGAUGGCACGGUGAUUCACAGGGAGUGUGCCAAGCCAGCGGCUGCCUCCCUGCUACUUGCUCACUGCUUUCCUCUGGUGUGACCAGAGGGAGUUGAGGUUGCUCCAAAGACAUAACCAGAAUUCCCUUGUAGAGCAGCUCACCUCAUUAACUGCACCAGGAAAUACUGAGCAACGUCAGCAAAAAGAUUUGUGAGUGAGAUGACAUCUUUAUGCAUUGGUGAGAUCUUGUGCUCAGCACUUGCUUACUUCACCUGGAUUCUAGGCUUGUGCCCAAGGCUGAGAAACAAACUUAAACUUUCUUCAGCUUGCCUAUUCAUGAGUGCCUUGUGUCAGCAAAACGUGCCUCAUCAUGUGGCUACCGGAUGUUUUCUCCACCUCCUGCACCACUUCCAAGGAUCCCACUCUGACCCACUUCCCCAACAACAAACAGAAGUCCACUUUUGUUGUUAGAGUUGUCUUUGCAUCACUGGUAACAAACAGUCUGUAGGAGAUAUUGGAACAAUUCCCUGCUUAUUGAUAGUGUCUGAUGAUGGGCUUCAAAUGUGGAUGAUCUGGGUACUUUGAAAUUAAAAUUGAACAGCAGAAGUGAAGAAAAGAUGCUGAAGGAAAAAGUUGGCACCCCUCUUAAUCAGAGCUGUCCAAGCUGUGGCCUGUAGGAUGUCUUCUGUCUGGUUUCUGCCUGUAUGUUAUCUGGCCCAUAGCUGGGCUGUUAUAAUACUUACUGCUUUCAUAUUGUGAAAGCCUGGACUGUCCUUCUGUAAGUGACUUAUCCCAAAUCUGUGGCAAGUGGGAGUCUUUCACUAGACAAUUCAAGUGAAAUACAUGCAUCCUGGAAGAUUUAGAAGAUGAAGGGAAAAUCGGUCUCCUCCUUUCUCAUCACCCUUUUCAAUUACAUUUUUUUGUUUAUCAGUUUUUAGUUUGGGCAAGGGAUUCCUCUUAUCCCGCUUUCUCUUGUGCUCUUGAGGCUUGAACAGCCCUUUAUUAUUGCAAGAAGCUCCUGUUUACCUCUUUUCACCUGUGUGCUGGUUUCUGGCCCUUGUUCUUCUCUUGUUGACUCCCCGAGGGUACACAGAUGGUAGCCUGGAAGCCAAAAGGAAUGAUACUGGAGGAGUGAGAGAGUGAGAGGAAAAAAAGUGAAAGAGGAAAAAAAAAGUAAGAAAAAAAAAAAAAA
Athene cunicularia (burrowing owl) is the source of this 1385-nucleotide long non-coding RNA. RefSeq lists it as uncharacterized. NCBI's taxonomy places the organism in Eukaryota, Metazoa, Chordata, Aves, Strigiformes, Strigidae. The record is from RefSeq and is a predicted model, not a curated record. The transcript has 3 exons.